RNAcentral lists this ribosomal RNA (253 nucleotides) under uncultured bacterium. RNAcentral's name for it is "partial 16S ribosomal RNA". It matches the Rfam family "Bacterial small subunit ribosomal RNA", at positions 524 to 776 of the family's 1533-position model. The record is from RNAcentral.
CACGUAGGGGGCAAGCGUUGUCCGGAUUUAUUGGGCGUAAAGAGCUCGUAGGUGGUUCGGUAAGUCGGGUGUUAAACCCCCAGGCUCAACCUCGGAACUGCCUUUGAUACUGCAAAUCUCGAGUCCGGAAGAGGUGAGUGGAAUUCCUAGUGUAGAGGUGAAAUUCGUAGAUAUUGGGAAGAACACCGGUGGCGAAGGCGGCUCUCUGGACCGUAACUGACGCUGAGGCGCGAAAGCGUGGGGAGCAAACAGG